CCUACGGGAGACAGCAGUGAGGAAUAUUGGUCAAUGGACGGAAGUCUGAACCAGCCAUGCCGCGUGCAGGAAGACGGCUCUAUGAGUUGUAAACUGCUUUUGUAAAAGGUUAAACCUGAAUACGUGUAUUCAGCUGAAAGUACUGUACGAAUAAGGAUCGGCUAACUCCGUGCCCGCAGCCGCGGUAAUACUGAGGAUCCAAGCGUUAUCCGGAUUUAUUGGGUUUAAAGGGUGCGUAGGCGGAUUGAUAAGUUAGAGGUGAAAUGUCCGAGCUUAACUCGGGAUCUGCCUCUACUACUGUUUAUCUAGAGAGUAGAUGCGGUAGGCGGAAUGUAUGGUGUAGCGGUGAAAUGCUUAGAGAUCAUACAGAACACCGAUUGCGAAGGCAGCUUACCAAUCUAUAUCUGACGUUGAGGCACGAAAGCGUGGGGAGCAAACAGGAUUAGAUACCCUUGUAGUC
Molecule: ribosomal RNA, 460 nt
Filed under: uncultured bacterium
Lineage: Bacteria
Description: partial 16S ribosomal RNA
Rfam family: Bacterial small subunit ribosomal RNA
Source: RNAcentral